This 395-nucleotide RNase P RNA is filed under the name Acidobacteriaceae bacterium. RNAcentral's name for it is "RNase P RNA component class A". It matches the Rfam family "Bacterial RNase P class A". Rfam says of the family: Ribonuclease P (RNase P) is a ubiquitous endoribonuclease, found in archaea, bacteria and eukarya as well as chloroplasts and mitochondria. Its best characterised activity is the generation of mature 5'-ends of tRNAs by cleaving the 5'-leader elements of precursor-tRNAs. Cellular RNase Ps are ribonucleoproteins. Lineage: Bacteria; Pseudomonadati; Acidobacteriota; Terriglobia; Terriglobales; Acidobacteriaceae. The record is from RNAcentral.
CUGCGCGAUCAGGCAACCGCUGGACAUGAGCCCGGUUCGCCGGGCCGGUCGGGAGGAAAGUCCGGUCUUCACAGGGCGGCAUGCCGGCUAACGGCCGGGGGCCUGUGCUCCAAGGUGCAGGCUACGGAAAGUGCCACAGAAAAGAUACCGCCCGCUCUUCUCGAAAAGACGGGUAAGGGUGAAAAGGUGCGGUAAGAGCGCACCGCGAGUCUGAGCGAUCAGACCGGCAGGGAAAACCCCAUGCGAAGCAAGACCAAAUAGGGGAGGAGGAGUGGCCCGCUCCGUUACAACUUCCGGGUAGGUCGCUUGAGCCUCUCAGCAAUGGGAGGCCUAGACGAAUGGUUGCCGCCCGCUUCGGCGGGACACAGAAACCGGCUUACCGAUCGCGCAGGUUC